This is a small nuclear RNA of Mustela putorius furo (domestic ferret), 110 nucleotides long. The record is from Ensembl. Lineage: Eukaryota; Metazoa; Chordata; Mammalia; Carnivora; Mustelidae.
GUGCUCCCUUCAACAGCACAUAUACUAAAAUUGGAAUGAUAACAGAGAACACUAGCAUCGCUCCUGCGCAAGACAUCUCUUCUAGUAGCAGAGAGAAAUACGGAGACAAU